Molecule: small RNA, 2371 nt
Filed under: Pan troglodytes (chimpanzee)
Lineage: Eukaryota; Metazoa; Chordata; Mammalia; Primates; Hominidae
Description: retained intron
Source: RNAcentral
CGUCUGCCUGGCUGUGGGGUGACACGGGGCUUCGCCUUGGGAAGGGGUCGAGGGAAGCAGUUAGACGGCGGCCGGGCGGCGGCUGCCGCGCGGCACACAAUAUUUAUUUAAUUGCCCAACUACCACUGAUGAAGAUAUAUUGGAGUGACUGCUGAAAUUGCCUUUUUGUUUUUAACCAGAGGACAGUCCAUUUGUUUCACUUCUUUUUGCUUUCCUUACUGCUAUGAGCUUUACUGUAACGGCUGAAAAACUUGGAAAAUAAAAUGGACAUGCUGUAGUCUUGAACAUAAUUUUUUUAAGGAAAACUUAAAGUGCCAGAGUGAAAGCCAGAAUGGCAUCCAGAGAGAGGCUCUUUGAACUUUGGAUGCUUUAUUGUACAAAGAAAGAUCCAGAUUACCUGAAGCUGUGGUUGGACACUUUUGUUUCUAGCUAUGAACAAUUUUUAGACGUUGACUUUGAAAAGCUGCCUACCAGGGUAGAUGAUAUGCCUCCAGGAAUAUCUCUGCUUCCUGAUAAUAUUCUGCAGGUUCUGAGGAUCCAGCUUCUACAGUGUGUUCAGAAAAUGGCAGAUGGGUUAGAGGAACAACAGCAAGCCUUGUCAAUUUUGCUUGUCAAGUUCUUCAUUAUUCUUUGCAGAAAUCUAUCAAAUGUGGAAGAAAUUGGGACUUGCUCGUACAUUAAUUAUGUCAUCACCAUGACAACACUCUAUAUUCAGCAAUUAAAAAGCAAAAAAAAAGAGAAGGAAAUGGCAGAUCAGACAUGUAUUGAAGAAUUUGUGAUCCACGCAUUGGCAUUUUGUGAAAGCUUAUAUGAUCCAUAUCGGAAUUGGAGACAUAGAAUUUCAGGACGAAUCCUUAGUACUGUGGAAAAGAGCAGACAGAAAUAUAAACCAGCUUCUCUCACAGUGGAAUUCGUCCCUUUCUUUUAUCAAUGUUUUCAGGAAAGUGAACAUCUCAAGGAAAGUCUUAAAUGUUGCUUAUUGCAUCUCUUUGGAGCCAUUGUAGCCGGUGGGCAGAGGAAUGCUUUGCAAGCAAUUUCUCCAGCCACUAUGGAAGUUCUUAUGCGAGUAUUGGCAGAUUGUGAUUCCUGGGAGGAUGGAGAUCCUGAAGAAGUGGGUAGGAAGGCAGAACUAACUCUGAAGUGCCUUACAGAAGUGGUACAUAUCCUUCUCAGUAGCAACUCUGAUCAGCGUCAAGUGGAAACCAGUACUAUUCUGGAGAACUAUUUUAAAUUGCUAAAUUCAGAUCAUUCAGCUUUACCUAAUCAAAGAAGGUCCAGACAGUGGGAAAACCGAUUUAUUGCUCUACAGAUCAAAAUGCUGAAUACCAUCACAGCCAUGUUAGAUUGUAGAGAUAGACCUGUUCUUCAGGCCAUUUUUCUUAACAGCAAUUGCUUUGAACAUCUCAUACGACUGCUACAGAACUGCAAGUAGAGACCGGGUUUCACCAUGUUGGCCAGGAUGGUCUCCAUCUCUUGACCUUGUGAUCUGCCCACCUCAGCCUCCCAAAGUGCUGGGAUUACAGGCGUGAGCCACCGUGCCUGGCCGAGACAUAGCUUUUUAAUUAAAUGAUUUAUCUAACCAAUAUUUAUUGUGUACCAAUUGUGUAUCAGACACUUUUCUUUUGAGGUCACAAAAUAUAUGUUGUCUUCAUAAUGACUACUUUAUAAAUUAGGCACGAAGUUUCAGAGCGAGAGUUUCAGUUUAGUUCUUUUUGACUUCAUGGCCAUUAUUCCUAACUUUUACACCAUGUAAUGACCUAAAUGUUGAUUUUGGGUGUUUAUUUCCAUUCUUCUCUCCAAAUAUGUGAUAUGUUUGUAUAAUUUAAAUAAAAUUCAUAAAUGAUUUGGUGCCCUUUCAGGGUCAAAUAACAUUUUUUAUUACAAUUAAAGUAAUACAUACUCAUUGUAAAUGGAAACAUUGAUAGCAUAUUGAUUCUCCCAUACAAUAAUAAAUAUAUGAAUUCCAAAAUUGUUGCUCAUAGAUGAAAACUGGUAAUAAUUCCCAUACUUCCUAAUGUAAAAAUAUAUAUUUCUAUUAAUGAAAAAGUAAGAUCCCACAUCAAGCUGAAUAAUAUCAAUAGGAUACUUUUGUAAAUAUAUUUUUGAUAGCUCAAAAUCAUAUUAUAACAUUAAUACAAACAAAAUUUUGAAGCAACCAGCUACUUGAUAGCUUUUCCAUUAUCAGUGUUAACCUUUUCUGCAGUUGUUCAGAGGCUGUGGAAGUUAAUGCAGAUUUGUAGAAACCUUAAUAUGUUUGUAAGUGAAUUUUGCACAAUGUACAAUUAUAUUUUGUUGCAAAACAAUUUUGAUGCCAAAAUAUGAAAUAUGGAGAACAGACUUCUUGAAACAUUAAAAAAAAAAUUUGUUUCUG